UAUAAAGUAUUUUACUUUUGUUAGAA
This 26-nucleotide transfer RNA is filed under the name Drosophila mettleri. RNAcentral's name for it is "partial tRNA-Leu". Lineage: Eukaryota; Metazoa; Arthropoda; Insecta; Diptera; Drosophilidae. The record is from RNAcentral.